This 464-nucleotide ribosomal RNA is filed under the name Fusarium oxysporum f. sp. ciceris. Its description in RNAcentral is "eukaryotic LSU rRNA". The stretch from base 134 to 287 matches the Rfam family "5.8S ribosomal RNA". The record is from RNAcentral. Lineage: Eukaryota; Fungi; Ascomycota; Sordariomycetes; Hypocreales; Nectriaceae.
CCAAACCCCUGUGAACAUACCACUUGUUGCCUCGGCGGAUCAGCCCGCUCCCGGUAAAACGGGACGGCCCGCCAGAGGACCCCUAAACUCUGUUUCUAUAUGUAACUUCUGAGUAAAACCAUAAAUAAAUCAAAACUUUCAACAACGGAUCUCUUGGUUCUGGCAUCGAUGAAGAACGCAGCAAAAUGCGAUAAGUAAUGUGAAUUGCAGAAUUCAGUGAAUCAUCGAAUCUUUGAACGCACAUUGCGCCCGCCAGUAUUCUGGCGGGCAUGCCUGUUCGAGCGUCAUUUCAACCCUCAAGCACAGCUUGGUGUUGGGACUCGCGUUAAUUCGCGUUCCUCAAAUUGAUUGGCGGUCACGUCGAGCUUCCAUAGCGUAGUAGUAAAACCCUCGUUACUGGUAAUCGUCGCGGCCACGCCGUUAAACCCCAACUUCUGAAUGUUGACCUCGGAUCAGGUAGGAAU